Molecule: small nucleolar RNA, 106 nt
Organism: Callithrix jacchus (white-tufted-ear marmoset)
Lineage: Eukaryota; Metazoa; Chordata; Mammalia; Primates; Cebidae
Source: Ensembl
UGUAAAAGUGAUGAGUUGUACCCUCAUAGAGUCAUAGCACUGGGGGAUGCAGGCACUGUGUAGUACUUUCCUGAGGAAAGAAAUGCACAGGGGCCACUCACUCAUC